This 617-nucleotide ribosomal RNA is filed under the name Lactobacillus gasseri. Its description in RNAcentral is "bacterial SSU rRNA". It matches the Rfam family "Bacterial small subunit ribosomal RNA", at positions 373 to 981 of the family's 1533-position model. The record is from RNAcentral. Lineage: Bacteria; Bacillati; Bacillota; Bacilli; Lactobacillales; Lactobacillaceae.
GGACGCAAGUCUGAUGGAGCGACGCCGCGUGAGUGAAGAAGGGUUUCGGCUCGUAAAGCUCUGUUGGUAGUGAAGAAAGAUAGAGGUAGUAACUGGCCUUUAUUUGACGGUAAUUACUUAGAAAGUCACGGCUAACUACGUGCCAGCAGCCGCGGUAAUACGUAGGUGGCAAGCGUUGUCCGGAUUUAUUGGGCGUAAAGCGAGUGCAGGCGGUUCAAUAAGUCUGAUGUGAAAGCCUUCGGCUCAACCGGAGAAUUGCAUCAGAAACUGUUGAACUUGAGUGCAGAAGAGGAGAGUGGAACUCCAUGUGUAGCGGUGGAAUGCGUAGAUAUAUGGAAGAACACCAGUGGCGAAGGCGGCUCUCUGGUCUGCAACUGACGCUGAGGCUCGAAAGCAUGGGUAGCGAACAGGAUUAGAUACCCUGGUAGUCCAUGCCGUAAACGAUGAGUGCUAAGUGUUGGGAGGUUUCCGCCUCUCAGUGCUGCAGCUAACGCAUUAAGCACUCCGCCUGGGGAGUACGACCGCAAGGUUGAAACUCAAAGGAAUUGACGGGGGCCCGCACAAGCGGUGGAGCAUGUGGUUUAAUUCGAAGCAACGCGAAGAACCUUACCAGGUCU